RNAcentral lists this ribosomal RNA (165 nucleotides) under Ruminococcus difficilis. Its description in RNAcentral is "Bacterial large subunit ribosomal RNA". It matches the Rfam family "Bacterial large subunit ribosomal RNA", at positions 2762 to 2925 of the family's 2925-position model. Lineage: Bacteria; Bacillati; Bacillota; Clostridia; Eubacteriales; Oscillospiraceae. The record is from Rfam by way of RNAcentral.
GGAUAAACGCUGAAAGCAUCUAAGCGUGAAGCCGACUCCAAGAUUAGAUAUCCCAUCGCUUUAUGCGAGUAAGACCCCUUGUAGACUACGAGGUUGAUAGGCUGCGUGUGUACGCAUGGCGACAUGUUUAGCUUGGCAGUACUAAUAGGUCGAGGGCUUGACCAC